Molecule: long non-coding RNA, 1822 nt
Filed under: Carica papaya (papaya)
Lineage: Eukaryota; Viridiplantae; Streptophyta; Magnoliopsida; Brassicales; Caricaceae
Description: long non-coding RNA (CPAP_LNC006134)
Source: RNAcentral
UUCAACAGGCGCCAACUUCCUUUCCGCCUUCUUUGUGCCCUAACGGCAACUUCCCUCCCUCACCUCUCAUGAUCCCUGAUCGUUUGUCUUUUUUGCUCAUUCUUCUUCGCAGUGUCCACUCAAUGCUUCCUCUCACCAGACACCAACACUUUGAACUUCCAUCUUCUAAUCACAAACAACCCUCCUUUUUUUCUCUCUGUUCCCUAAAUCAAAACAGUGGAAGCUUCCAUCUACACAGCUUCAUCUGUCAUUUUGAAUUGACUCUCUUUAAACUGUCUUGCUUCUUCUUUACAGCUUCUCUGUGGUGCCCUCAAAAUCAAGAUUCUAGCUAGCUAGCUUCCUUCACAAAUGAAAGUUAUAAAUGUCUUCCUUAAGGUAAGCUUCCCUUAUGCUAAUUAAUACCUUUACGUAUAUUUUAAUAUUUAUAUAUUUUAUGGUCUUCAUUCGCUCAAGUGGGUACAAAUCAAUAAACCAAAAUAAUUUACAAUAAGCUAAAUUAGAAAAUACACUCUCCCAAAAUUUUUACCCAAAAAAUGAUAAAUUAAAGAUAAUAUAUAUAUAUAUAUAUGUUUUUUAAUUAAAAAAAAAAAUAUAUAUAUAUAUAUAUGUAAGUAAUAAAUAAAUAAUAUCAAAAUCAAUAAGCAAUUCAAAAUUUAAUAAAACUCAAAAUACUUGUCAAAUAUCAUAUAUCUCUAUGAUAAGCCAAAUCCAAAAUUUUAAUAAAAUUUUUAUUCUUAUUUUUCUAAAUUAUCUUCAUCCAACGUGUUGAAUAAAAAUAUUCAAAAAAAAUUGUUAUCCAUAUUAAUAUUAAUUAGAUUUAAAUGAGUAUUUAGGUAGGCUAGGAAUUGAUCUAUUAAUUUAAAAAUAAUUAAACUCCUUGAGAUUGAAUAUAAAAUAAUUUUAAUUCAUUACUCCUAAAAUUUUGCACGAAUAAACUCUUAACAUGUAAUAUAUGAACGAAAUUUAUAUUUUCAUCAAUAUUCACUUGUAAUAUUUAUUUUUUUUUAAUGUCGUAUGAUCAUAAAUUAUAUUAAAAAAAAAAUAUUUAGAGACGCAGAAUUAUUGCUUUCAACCAAAAGAUCACCGGAAGAGGGAGAUCUAGGAGCAUACAAAUGAUGUUAUGAUUUAAUUUUUUUAAAAAAAAAUUAAUAAUAAUGAAUUUUUACCAUAAAACAAGAAGAAUCUUAUGAUAUGUUAAUUAUAAUUACUUAUGUUUAGCGGCUAGAAGUUAGGCAAAACUUUUGAAAAAGAAUUUUAAAAAUUACUAAUAUUGUGAUUCGUAUUUUUUAACAUUAAAAUAUCAUAAUUUUUAUUAUUCAAAUCUUUUUACAAAAUAAAUCAAAAUUUAAACACUCGAUCUAAAAAUUACAUAGCACCAAUCCGAUGCAUACACUUUAAUACCAACUGUUUAUCAGCAACUUUUAAAGUCAAACUGCUGCUUUGAAAAUAUUUAGACUUAUAUUAUUAACAAUGUAUCUCUUCAUUUUUGUAUUAAAUUCUCACAUAUCUUUUAAAUGUGAUAUAGGAUAUCACAAAGCAAUGAGUUAUAUAUUGAGAUUCUUUUACGUAUAUAGUAUUUCCCGUAUAGAUUAUUUCUUAAAUGAGUUGAUAUGUGCAUAUAUAUAAAUAGAAGUCUCUUGUGAGCCCAAAAAUCAAUUAAUAGAAAAUUACAGUUUCUAUUAAAUAAACAACUCUCAACCAUUAACCACCAUUUCCAUUAUCACAUCAUUCCAGGAGUCCAUUGGCCCAGGCAAGCACCAGUGUAAGCAGUCAUUUUGAACCUUGGCAUUUUUGUCCUUCGCAAAUGGAUGGAACUCUCGAU